Molecule: ribosomal RNA, 218 nt
Filed under: uncultured fungus
Lineage: Eukaryota; Fungi
Description: partial small subunit ribosomal RNA
Rfam family: Eukaryotic small subunit ribosomal RNA (bases 95-218)
Source: RNAcentral
GGUCGUGGCAAUCGGUCCGCUCCUCGCGGAGUGUGCACCUGGUUGCUGCAGCCAUCCUCGCGGAGAGCGCAUCUGGCAUUAAUUUAUCGGGUGCGGGAUCCGCGUCAUUUACUGUGAGCAAAAUAGAGUGUUCAAAGCAGGCUUAAGCCGUUGAAUACAUUAGCAUGGAAUAAUAAGAUAGGACCUUGGUCUAUUUUGUUGGUUUGUACUCCAAGGUA